This is a non-coding RNA of Xyrichtys novacula (pearly razorfish), 6268 nucleotides long. The record is from the annotation of a GenBank genome assembly. NCBI's taxonomy places the organism in Eukaryota, Metazoa, Chordata, Actinopteri, Labriformes, Labridae.
GACAUACUGUGCAAAGUUUAAUGUCAUUUAGUGGUAGCCCAAUACUCUUAAUACAAUCUUAUUUUCAUAUUGUCCCCAAAGGUUUAUUUUAGGAUUGUAACUAUGCACUCAACCUGCAAAAACAAAACAAAAAAAUACAUAAGCAAAUGCAAGAUUUUUAUUCAACCUCUAGAGAGAUUUUUCAUGUAACUGGUGUGGUGCUUUUAUUUUGAAAGGAUAUAAAGGAGAUACUUCCACUAAUUUGCAAAAAGACAGUUGUUGUGCUAUUAUUUUGAAAGGAUGUAGUAGAUACUUCCUCUAAAUCUGUGUUUCAACUGUGUUCUUAAUGCCUGUACAGUGUCCUUGGGUGUCCAGAAAGGCGCUUUUAAAUAAAAUGUAUUAUUAUUAUUAUUAUUAUUACCUGUAGAGUCUGUAUUCUCUGUAGUCUGUAUCAGCGACAUAUAACCUGGAGCCUGAGAGAGAGAGGGUUAUCAUAUACUCUUUUCUUAACGGCAAUCUAAUAGGAUGAAAAUUGAUUUUCUAUGUGUAAAAAAAACUACAUGCUGUAACGUCAAAAUUAUCAUCUACUGCAGAUGUAAACAUGAUGACCUGAACUGGAGACGUCAAAGUCAUAAGCAGCCGCUGCUGAUUUGUGUUGUCUCUUGUAUGUAUCGAUUUUUUUCUACUGUCUCACUUACAUCCCUGGUUGGUUGUACGGAGACUUGUGAUGCAGAUAACAUAAAGUGCUGCUGUGAAAGUUAAAGGGCGUUGCACACAGAAAAUGCAGAGGAACUUUGAACCCUUAAAGCCUCUUUUAGACUUGUUUGCAUGGGAUAUAGCGCAGUUGCUGUUGAGUAAAGUUGCUUACAAAGAAAGCUCCUUACACAUGUUCUCUGCGGCUCUGAAACUGAGUGUUGAUGCUGUUGGAUUGUUCGUUGAUAUUUUGUUGAAGUUUAACCUGAAGGCACUCGUACCCCUACCGCUUUACUAAAGUAGAAGGGUGUUUCACUAAAGCGUAACAUCAUAAGUCACAAUCAUUAGACAGUGUGAUAUAAAACUCACACUUUUUCAUGAUCACAGUGUGUUCAGCUGUACCGUACAGUUUCGUAUGCCUGCCUGCUUGUGUGCGUGUGUAUCAGCAUGUGAAAGGGGUGACACAUAUACACCUCCCUGUUUUUUACCAUAGAAGGAUAGUAGCACACUACAUGGCUGAAUGAUUCAGAUUACUGACUCACAACGAGCUUUCUUCACUACGUACUCGUGUCACAAGAAGUGUACAAUCACACACACACACAAAUACACACACAGACACACACACACUUUGGAAAGUUCGUCCUUUGUGUUUGUGAAUGCGUGUGUGAGAAAAGAGACCAAGCACAUGGAGGACAGACAGCUCUGGUUACAGGUCAACUGAUAUCCACUCACACACACACACACACACUCACAAACACACAUACACAUACACACACACUGCAAACUCAGCAAGAUUCAGGUGACAUAGCUUUUCACUGAGUGUGUGUGAGUGUCAGUUUCGGAGAAGUACUCUCUCCUUUUUGCAAUGUAGGUCACUUGAGCUGGCCUCUCUCCCUCCCUUAAACUCUCCCAUGCGUCUUAGGCCUCUUCUUACUUGAAUACCCAUGGUCCUCUCUUUCUUACCUCUUUAUAUUCCUCCUUUAAAUAUCUGUAUUGAUCUUCCUCAGGCUCUCUCUUCAGUUGUUGUUUUUGCUUUUUUUCAAAGUUCAAAAUACGGCUCCUCUCUGUACAGGUUAAAAGUAGAGGACUUUGCCCUGGGUACUCUUUACAUUUACUUCUUUCUCUUUUCUUUCUCCCCUUUUUUCUUUUCUCACUGCAGGAUAAUGUGAAGUAGAAAUAAAAACACUUUCCGCUUUGAACAAGAAUGUGGGUAUGUGUUUGUGGAUAUAAAUCUCACCAUUAUUCCUGCUUUUUAGCACUGUUCACAUCACUUGUUCUUGGAUGCUAAUAUGAUUGUUUUGGUUCACUCCCAACUCCCUUAUCACUGUUAUUCCCAUGCAAAGCAGGCGACAGAUGAAAUAAGCGACCAGUUGUGAAUAUAUUGGAGCAUUUAGCCCUUCUUUCUUAGACUGGGUGGAAACAAACCCGGCUGCAGAUGAAUCCUAAUAAUGCCAAGUGUCUUAAUGACGUUUUGAUGGCCAACAGUUAUAUGGCAGUAUUUUACUUGUUUCUGCUGAUUUUUCUCAAAUCAUUUAAACCCUUUAUUCCACUGAGGAUAGACAAUAAACUGAAGAAUUGUAUCGCUUUAUAUGCUAACUUAAAAACUCAAUUGGGAGAGGGGAAACAAAACACUUUACUUUUUAAAGGCUUAUAGUUAGAGAUGGCUCAUGCUGCUGUAGGUUUGAACUGCCAGAGUAUUGGCAUAUUGAGUACCUUCCUCUCUUUCUCUUUCCUCUUUCUGUCUGUGUCUUAAACUUUGAAUCAUCAUGUCUCGUUAGAGUCACAAAUACGCAGUCUUUUCUGGGAGUCCCUGUGCUCUGGUAUGUCGUAGGUUCCUCUGGAUUGCUGCUGCAGAUGUUUUGCUGCCCUUGACCUACCUUCUUUCCAGCUGCUUCAACUAUCUGAAUCAGUCUCACCCCUAUCCAUCUCUCUCUUUCUACAUCUCCCUCUAUUUAGUUUAGUCUGAAGCUGGUCGUGAGGGCUAGUAAAUAAUAACAGAAAAGGAGAGCAGCCUGAGGACUCACUGGACACAACCACUGAUAGGGAAAAGUGGAGAAAGAUCCUGUCCUGCAAUCCAGGCGAUGGCAGCAAAGCUAGCCAGCGCUUGUCCAAGACGCAGUUAGAGGCAGUAAUAAAUUGCGACAUUUGUCAAGUUUAUGUUUAAAGGUGUUUUACAGCAAAACUCAAAGAAGAAGUUACGGGUGGGAAUCACUAGUGGCUAUAAUAUUAUCACGAUACUUGGGCCACGGCACGAUAUUAUUGCAGUCUUUAUUAUUUUGCAGUACAGUUAGAACUGCGAUACAAUAUAUCAUGAUUUAUACAUUUUUUUCAACUGUUUAGCUAAUUUAGCAUUUGUCUUUCCUUUAUGUUUGUUUUAUUUAUGCUGUAUUUUAUUUUCAUGUAGCAAUCCUUGCAAAACUUAUAUAUUUUUUUGUUGUACUAACUUUCUCCUGCUCUAAGAUGUCACCUCUGCCAACCUCACUGGACAAACAAUUGAUUUUAUUUUCUAUUAUCAUAGAUUUGACUUCAGAUUAGCAAUUAAUUUGAUACUUUUGAUACUUGAUAAAUGAGAUGAUAUGAUAUAUCACAAGACAAAAUAUCCCACCCCUACUAUUUGGUACGCAAGAGGCGCCAAAAGUAAUGGGAACAGAAAAGUCCCCUCAGGAGCUUUAGGUAGACAGUCAUUCAAAAUGAUUACUCUUCUCGCUGUUAUAGUUUACAACCUCACUAUUGCUAUUAAAAAAAGUAUCCUGUGAUUCGCCUCAUCAGACUCAGUUGUUCAAAGCACACACAAACUCAGGGCUUGCAGUGUUCUGAACAGUGUACACGAUAUCACAUUGCAAAACGCAUGUUUUGUUUCUCCUUGAAUGCUCAGACACCUUUUCUUCCAAUGCCAGAGUGAACUGUCAGUGGAGACAUGCCUCUCUCUGAAGAUAAAAGCCCAUGUAGAUGGCAGUAUUACAGAUUUGCUGCUGGAUGUACACACACUGUCAGUGUUUGAUGUGACAGCUGAUAUGAGAUGUCUCUAAUCUGCGAGCUCUCAGACACAUAACAUUACUCUUAUCUCAGAGUGUUAAUUUGAGCACACGCUUGUUGAAUCCGAGUAGACUGGCUUAGCUCUCUGUGUUUUCUUUUAUUUCCUCUAUAAUGACUGGUUCUUAUGACACAGCAUUAGCAUUAGGUGUGGUGCAGGAUGGAUGCCAGGAGAGAAGAAGCAAAGACAUUACGAGACAGAGGAUUAAAGAGCGUGUAACCAUCAGAUGAAAGAAUAAUUAUUGAGAAAAGAGUUUCGAAGGAGGAGAGGUGGGCAGGCUGAGGCAGGAGUGGAGUGAAGUGGAGGUAGACUGAAGGAGAGAGAGGCGGGAAGAUAGCAUCUCACUCUGAGUCAUGCCUGCACGAUUGAACAGAUGGUGUGUGCUUGGGAGAGUGUGUGUGCGCUUGCCACUGUGAAACAAAGCGUGUUUCUGCAGGUGCUCUUCCACUGUAUGUGCAUGUGAAUUUGCAUGUGUUUCCUCCUACACCUGUCUCUGCAGUGUCUAUAUAGUAGCACCGUGACACCUAAAAAUCACAGGAAUCUACCAGAGAUGCAGGACGUUCUUUGCCCUGUAGAAUACACUCAAACACACAACAUGUACUCAGAGAGACAGUAGAUGCAAUUCAUACCACUGUGUAGGAAAUUGAAAAUAUGCCCCAGGACAUUCGAGAGGUGUUGACCCAGUCAUUCUGGCUGAAAGAUGGGAUCUUUUGUGGCUUUGCUGCUACAAAAGCGCUGUGUAAUGGAGUCCAAUGAGAGUAAAAUGAGCGACAAUCACCAUCUUAUAUCCAGUGAUGUCACCAGACCAGUUACAUGAAUGCCUUUUGCAUGCUUUGCAAUCACUUUUCCCCAUAUCUAAAGAUCUUGGCAUUUCGACUGCAUGAUAACAGAUGGCUCAGUGUUUGGUAAUUAUGUCAAACAAGGGGCGUCUAUUUCUCUGAUAAGAUAGCUCGGCUACAGUAUGAUGGUAAGUUUCCAAUCUUACAGGGCUAACGUAUUUUAACACUGAUAAGUUACUACCAUUCUAAUUCACUUCCAUUGUACUCCAUUAUAGGUUAUAUUUUUACACUUUCAAGGUUGUUAAUUAAAAUCAAGUGUUUUUCAGGCUAUAAUUCGCACCAGCCAAAAAAUGCAUAAUGAAGAAGAAAAAACAUAUACCAGUAUAAGUUGCUUUUUUGGGGGGAAAUCUGUGUUGCAAAAUCCAAGACAAAGAACAGACAUUUCAUCUCGAAAGGCAAAUUAUAAUAAUAAUAGAAUAGAGAACAACAAGCUAAAUAGGUGUACCGUAUGCUAACGUAACAUCUUGAUGGUUAUGCAGCAUAAAACAACAAACUCAGCAGAUGUCUGGUAUGUUAACAUAACAUAUAAACAGUUAUUCAGAUAAGUUUUAGCAUAAAGAACAUAACAAACAAAGUUUACCAAACUCUCGAUCUGAGUCGAUAUGAGUUAACGUCAAUUUUAAAUUUUCGGUGGUACAGAAGUAGCAGAUACUGGUACAUCAGCCUAGAGUGCCCUCUAGCGGCUGUCAGUGUAAAAAUAACAAAAAUGUGAAAUUAUAUAUUUUAAUAUAUAAAAGCCGCACCUGAGUAUAAGUCGCAAACCCAGCCGAACAACGAAAAAAAUGGGACUUAUCGUCCAGAAUAUACGGUAAAUUUAAUCUUUGACCUUUUUGAGCAAAAUAUUCCUACUUUUCAGCUGUUUCAUUUUCACACUAAUGUCGCAAAGUUUCAAUAAAGAGUUAAUUAAGGAGAUGAUUUGUCGUAUCUGAUACUUCUGUUCUACUUUAACUGUUGUUGCAGAACAAAAAUUAUGCCUGCUGUACAUUUUUGUCCACUGUGAAAAUACAGUAAACUGAUAGUCAACCUUAAGUGUGCAAAUGUGAAGUCUUUAAGUUGCUGGAACACAUGGGCACGGCCUACGUGCUCUGGGUGUGCUUUGUGUGAGGAAAAGAACACGUGUCAGCAUAAUUGAAUAUGCCCAGGUGUCGGUGUUUGAGCUAGCAGGAAGGUGUGUGCCUGGUUGUCUGCAAGUAAGUGUGUAAGGGUUUGUGUAUGCACUUGAAAUGCUGAUACAUCUUUUAUGAGAUUCACACCCAGCUUUCCAUUUUUUGCAGCAGGGGGUCCUCGCUAACAGAUGGCGCGCACACACUUGGUUCACACUCACACAAGGUUUAUUGAGAACAGCAGAGACUUUUUAUCAAAGGAACAACUACUGCAGGGGCUAGAAAGUUCCUGGAGUAGUUUAGAUUAUUGCUGUUAUAGAUGUUCAUCUCUGCAAAACCGAUUUGAUUUCUUUUAGUGGUUAUUCUGUUAAAGCCCUCGACCGGCAGCUCUGUGGUAGACAGCAGCUGUUUUUCUUAAGUGCAUUUCCACAAUUUGGGUCUGUGUAAAAAGCUUUUUAAACUUCUUCACAGGCAGUCCAAUCACCUACACCUGUGGGCUCAGCGUCUUUCAUAUUUAAGGGGAUUUGGACUAACUUUACCUUGUUGCCAGGUGUAGUUGAAUUGAGGAAACAUGCAUCCCUUUUCAAACCGCACUUUCCCCUAACAGUUUCCUCUCCUCU